This 957-nucleotide long non-coding RNA is filed under the name Anas platyrhynchos platyrhynchos (common mallard). RNAcentral describes it as "lncRNA (ENSAPLG00000020691.1)". Lineage: Eukaryota; Metazoa; Chordata; Aves; Anseriformes; Anatidae. The record is from RNAcentral.
AUGUACCAUAUCCACUGUUCAGUAAUCUUUUCCUUUUGGCCUGGAUUAGUCUACUCAACUGUUCCUUGUCCAGAAAGCAUGCCAGGGCUUUGCUCACCCCCAUUACCAUGCACUGAACCUUUUCCAGCCCUGCUGCGCUUUGCAAUGGGAGACCCAAGCCAUGCUCAACAUUUGAAGUGUGGGCAUGGAUUAUACAUCUCUCUUCCUUAUGGGGAUGGAUUUUAUUCCCAUUGGGGUAAAUCCCCUCAUUUCUCAGUGCAAUCCUGCUGUAGCCAGGGAGGGCAUCAGGGAUGGACUCGGUGCCCAAAAGCUGCUCAUUUUCUCAAGCUCCAUCCGAAGGUCUCAUGGGGUAUGUUCUCCCUCCUGAAAACCAUGCCACCAUCUCGCAGGAUGUUGUUUCUCUUCUCAGCUAAAGGGAGAACUAUCUUGAGUGCUGGCUUACCUUCAGUCCUGAUGUGCUUGCCAGUACCUGGGACAUCCAACCACUCCAGUAAUAAUUCCAACAGCAGUGGUACCAGAGUUGUUUCCAUGCCAUGCUGCCCGUUGGCACUCAGGGAAGAACAAACCAAAACAGAAAACUUGCAGCUACCACAUGGAGAUGGGCUGGAGAAGGAGAUAGCUGCUGUCACCAGACAUCUUGGCAAAUACCCAUUGUUUCUUAGGAAUGUGCUUAAAAAAAGACAAGGAAGUGGAGAAGAAACAGCUCCUUUUAUUUCCCUCCAAGCCCAUCCCUUUGGUCUUGAGUUAAUGGAAAACAUAUUUUUAUGUCCUGAAAGAUGCAAGAGACAUUUGUGGAUGUGCGCAUCGGAAAAGAAGCCCUGUCUGGCUGGGAGGAGAAGGAGCUGGUGCAAACCUGGACCUUGAAGAGACAGAGGGAGACAUGGACAAAGGCAGAGCUGCACAGUGAAUCUUUCCAUGAGAGGGAAGGGAAGAACAUAUUCUGCCCACAGAAGCAUA